UCAAUAUAAUAAUUGUAUUUAGUAAGAGCAGCCAUCUUGCAAAUCGUAGGAUGAGAUAAAAACGAGAUGCCACUAGUAGAAAUUAUCAUAAACGAAAUAAACGGACUGAAUUAGUUGCAACUCUGACAGUGGGAGAAGUUACGUAGUUAGAAACGUGUUCAACAAUACACAACUAAACUGCGAAACAACUGGGCUCUGGCUGAACUAAAUCUGUUCAGCCAACAUCUAAAUAUUUUUUCCGAACAAUUCGUUAUUUAGUUUUAUUGUCUACGUUAUGUAUUGUUACAUUAUUGUUCCCAUUUACUGGACAUUUAUUUCGUAAACGAGUUGCGAUUACGUUAUCUCCGUGGAGUUUGAAGGCUAUCGAAAAGAAUGGAGUAGGAUGUAUGAAUGGCACGAGUCUUGUUAACAGGAAAAGUACGAUGUACUGUACAAGAGGAAGACGUCGCGCGAUACUACAUUGAGAGACUCCUUUAUACUGCUGGAUAAUAGUUUUCCUGAUUGAUUCCGGACAUGUGACGUAAGAAAAACUACAAGAAAUUCCAGAAAAUUCUGUAAAAAUCCUUUCUGAACGGGCUUCAUUGCAAUGUGUUGUCAAGCGUUGCAUAGCUACGUAUACAGAACUAAUGAAAUCCGAGGCAGUAAAUUACGUUUUCUAUCGAAUUAAGAAUAUUAUACACAUUAAUUAAUCAUUCCUACCCCAAAAAUAACACCUCCUAAGUAUCUUAUGACAUCUGUUUUGAUGCCUGUAACAUCGAUUAUAACAUAAAUUUCUUAUAUGUAUCAAAGUAUAACUCGGGUUUACCUUUGCGACGAACUGGUGAACGGUUCCUAUGUCUCUGUUGAAAUUUCUGUUUAGAGUUGUCAUGGCGAAUAGAGGAAAUAACCAAAGGAAGUGUAAGUAAAUCUAAAUUAAUUACCAGAAAUUUUCAUGCAUUUAUUAAUCUAUUUUUCUUCCAAAACGUAUUUCGUGCCACUAAGCCCUUCUUUAGUUGUGUAAUAAAAAGUAUACUCUAAUUGAAGAGUUACCUACAUGACCCUCUGUAUCUCACUCCUUGUCUUUUAACCACCAAAAUUUAAUAGCACCAAUGCUCCUAAUACAGAAACCUUUCUGCAAAAUUUACGAAAAUUUUGACCAAAGACACAGGAGCUGCUAAGCUUCAAAGGGAGUGA
Centruroides sculpturatus (bark scorpion) is the source of this 1173-nucleotide long non-coding RNA. RefSeq lists it as uncharacterized. The record is from RefSeq and is a predicted model, not a curated record. The transcript has 4 exons. NCBI's taxonomy places the organism in Eukaryota, Metazoa, Arthropoda, Arachnida, Scorpiones, Buthidae.